This 495-nucleotide ribosomal RNA is filed under the name uncultured Knoellia sp. RNAcentral's name for it is "bacterial SSU rRNA". It matches the Rfam family "Bacterial small subunit ribosomal RNA", at positions 521 to 1012 of the family's 1533-position model. The record is from RNAcentral. Lineage: Bacteria; Bacillati; Actinomycetota; Actinomycetes; Micrococcales; Intrasporangiaceae.
UAAUACGUAGGGUGCGAGCGUUGUCCGGAAUUAUUGGGCGUAAAGAGCUUGUAGGCGGUUUGUCGCGUCUGCUGUGAAAAUCCGGGGCUCAACCCCGGACUUGCAGUGGGGUACGGGCAGACUAGAGUGUGGUAGGGGAGACUGGAAUUCCUGGUGUAGCGGUGAAAUGCGCAGAUAUCAGGAGGAACACCGAUGGCGAAGGCAGGUCUCUGGGCCACUACUGACGCUGAGAAGCGAGAGCAUGGGAGCGAACAGGAUUAGAUACCCUGGUAGUCCAUGCCGUAAACGUUGGGAACUAGGUGUGGGUCUCAUUCCACGAGAUCCGUGCCGCAGCUAACGCAUUAAGUUCCCCGCCUGGGGAGUACGGCCGCAAGGCUAAAACUCAAAGGAAUUGACGGGGGCCCGCACAAGCGGCGGAGCAUGUGGCUUAAUUCGACGCAACGCGAAGAGCCUUACCAAGGCUUGACAUAUAGCGAAAAGUGGCAGAGAUGUCAU